This 108-nucleotide small nuclear RNA is filed under the name Moschus moschiferus (Siberian musk deer). The record is from RNAcentral. Lineage: Eukaryota; Metazoa; Chordata; Mammalia; Artiodactyla; Moschidae.
GUGCUCACUUCGGCAGCAUAUAUACUAAAAUUGGAAUGAUACAGAGAAGAUUAGCAUGGCCCCUGCACAAGGAUGAUACUGUGUAUUCUAUAGUAUUUUUUUAAUUUG